Molecule: ribosomal RNA, 1054 nt
Filed under: Strongyloides cebus
Lineage: Eukaryota; Metazoa; Nematoda; Chromadorea; Rhabditida; Strongyloididae
Description: 16S ribosomal RNA
Source: RNAcentral
AUUAUUUUUGUUAUUUAUAUAUUAGUAUUGCAUACUAUUUUGGGAAAAUUAUAUUUAUAUAUAAAAUAGAAAGAAUUGGUAAAAGUUUAUUUUUGUUUUAUUUUUACAGAAGAAAAUAUAAAUAAAUUGGUGUUGAAAUAUCGUCUAUUCUUAUAUCUGUUUUUUUUUUAUAUACUAGAAAAUUGUAUGUGAAAUUUUUAAAUUUUAGAUUCUUUUAUAAUAUGGAUUAAAAGUGUCCGUGUUUUCGGUGUUACAACCGUUAUCUUUUAGUUUUUAUCUUUUAUUUAUUUUUAAAUAAGGGAUUUUUUCUCAAAAAAAAAAGAGAAAGGGGGAUUUUUUUUUUGGGAAAAAUAUACAUUUAUGUAUUAUUUAUUGUAUUUUUUUUUUAUAAGACAUUAUAAAAUAAAUUAUCCAGAAAUUAGUAAAUAUUUUAAAUAAUAUUUUUAUUUUGAAUAUAAUUAGAGAACUCGUAAUCAAGAUCAAAUGUUUUUUAAAGACUUAGGGUUUAAAUUAAACCUGGCUUCUGCCCUAUGUAUUUUUAUAAAUGGCAGUCUUAGCGUGAGGACAUUAAGGUAGCAAAAUGAUUUGUUUCUUUAUUGGAUUCCAGUAUGAAUGAAGUUUUGGUUGGUGUUUUUCUUUUUUUUUUUUGAAUUUAAUUUAUAUAUAAAAAAAUAUAUAUAUAAUAUAACAAAGAUAAGUCUUCGGAAAUUUUAUUUUUAAUUAAUUUAUUUUUAAUUAAAAAUUUUUCUAGGGAAGAAAUAUUAUAUAAUUUUUUUUUUCUAAUAUUAAUUAAAAAAAUUACUUCGGAGUUAACAGGAAAUCAAGCUUUAUAUAGUUCUUAUAUUAGUGGUUAGUUUUACAUCGAUGUUGUAUUCCUAUAGGCCAAGGAAGAAGAAGAUUUGGUUUUUGAGACUGUUCUUCUUUUAUUAAAUAGGACGUGAUAUUAGUUUAAUUCAUCGUGAGAUAGAAUUGCUUAUCUUGUGUAUUAUUUUUUUUUUUUGUAGUAUAGUACGAAAGGAGUUAUGUUAAUGUUUUAAACGUUUUAAUUAUUUUU